AGCUUGCUACCUGACCUAGCGGCGGACGGGUGAGUAAUGCUUAGGAAUCUGCCUAUUAGUGGGGGACAACAUUCCGAAAGGAAUGCUAAUACCGCAUACGCCCUACGGGGGAAAGCAGGGGAUCUUCGGACCUUGCGCUAAUAGAUGAGCCUAAGUCAGAUUAGCUAGUUGGUGGGGUAAAGGCCUACCAAGGCGACGAUCUGUAGCGGGUCUGAGAGGAUGAUCCGCCACACUGGGACUGAGACACGGCCCAGACUCCUACGGGAGGCAGCAGUGGGGAAUAUUGGACAAUGGGCGAAAGCCUGAUCCAGCCAUGCCGCGUGUGUGAAGAAGGCCUUUUGGUUGUAAAGCACUUUAAGCGAGGAGGAGGCUACUGAGAUUAAUACUCUUGGAUAGUGGACGUUACUCGCAGAAUAAGCACCGGCUAACUCUGUGCCAGCAGCCGCGGUAAUACAGAGGGUGCGAGCGUUAAUCGGAUUUACUGGGCGUAAAGCGUGCGUAGGCGGCUUUUUAAGUCGGAUGUGAAAUCCCUGAGCUUAACUUAGGAAUUGCAUUCGAUACUGGGAAGCUAGAGUAUGGGAGAGGAUGGUAGAAUUCCAGGUGUAGCGGUGAAAUGCGUAGAGAUCUGGAGGAAUACCGAUGGCGAAGGCAGCCAUCUGGCCUAAUACUGACGCUGAGGUACGAAAGCAUGGGGAGCAAACAGGAUUAGAUACCCUGGUAGUCCAUGCCGUAAACGAUGUCUACUAGCCGUUGGGGCCUUUGAGGCUUUAGUGGCGCAGCUAACGCGAUAAGUAGACCGCCUGGGGAGUACGGUCGCAAGACUAAAACUCAAAUGAAUUGACGGGGGCCCGCACAAGCGGUGGAGCAUGUGGUUUAAUUCGAUGCAACGCGAAGAACCUUACCUGGUCUUGACAUAGUAAGAACUUUCCAGAGAUGGAUUGGUGCCUUCGGGAACUUACAUACAGGUGCUGCAUGGCUGUCGUCAGCUCGUGUCGUGAGAUGUUGGGUUAAGUCCCGCAACGAGCGCAACCCUUUUCCUUAUUUGCCAGCGGGUUAAGCCGGGAACUUUAAGGAUACUGCCAGUGGCAAACUGGAGGAAGGCGGGGACGACGUCAAGUCAUCAUGGCCCUUACGACCAGGGCUACACACGUGCUACAAUGGUCGGUACAAAGGGUUGCUACCUAGCGAUAGGAUGCUAACCUCAAAAAGCCGAUCGUAGUCCGGAUUGGAGUCUGCAACUCG
RNAcentral lists this ribosomal RNA (1242 nucleotides) under uncultured Acinetobacter sp. Its description in RNAcentral is "bacterial SSU rRNA". It matches the Rfam family "Bacterial small subunit ribosomal RNA", at positions 77 to 1314 of the family's 1533-position model. Lineage: Bacteria; Pseudomonadati; Pseudomonadota; Gammaproteobacteria; Moraxellales; Moraxellaceae. The record is from RNAcentral.